CUAAUGUGUUGUGUCGCCUUAUUUUUAUUCUUUGUUCAGCAACAAACACAUUUCUUUUUUUUGAAAACUGAAAGGGACCAAAAUUUCUAUUGUAUGUAAGAAUUACAUGUUGUUUUUGUUAUAUGUUGUCUACCUAAUGUAGUAAUAGUGUUUCACUACACUUUUUCUAUUGUAAUAAGAUUUACAAGCUAUGUUUGGUUUUUCAGCAAACUGACAACUCUAAAAAAGUGAAUGCUGGUAUGCGCAAAUCAUCACGAAAAGGAAUUGAAAUUACACUUUGGAGACUCCUUUGCUAUUUUUGAUGAAACCAAACAACUGUAAAAUCAAACAAAAAUGGUUACUGGUAGCCGCCAGUGAAACUUUAAGUAGAGCGGUGCAAAUUCCCAAUGUUUAUUACAUUCAUGGGGCUCUUGCAAGUCUUUCGUCAAUCUCCAAUGUUCCGAGAACUGGCAUCGCUCUGCAGUAACAAUUUACCUGCCUACAACCUACAUCUACAGACUGUCUCCAGGCAUGACAGACGACCAUGGGUCCUACUACUACAAAUAUUUUGAAGACUCCCUGUUUGAUGGCCGUAUUUCAAGAAUUUUGCUGAAACAAUGGCUGCUCGACAGACAGAAAAAAUGAUCCCUGCGUUAUUCUUAUCUAUGUAUACAAGAUACACUAGCAGUUAGAAAAUGAAGAAUGUUCCUAAAAGUCCCUGACCAUGACUGAAUGUUGAAAGAAAGGCACCUUCUAGACAGCAGUAUCUCUAAGAACACUACCCUGAACCAAGACUGAAAACUGAAGAAAUGUAUUUAAGGCCUUAAUUAUUAAAUAAUGAAGUAAAUUUUUGUCUUUUUAGUU
Long non-coding RNA from Cydia fagiglandana, 843 nucleotides. RefSeq lists it as uncharacterized. The transcript is spliced from 5 exons. The record is from RefSeq and is a predicted model, not a curated record. Lineage: Eukaryota; Metazoa; Arthropoda; Insecta; Lepidoptera; Tortricidae.